CCUACGGGAGGCAGCAGUAGGGAAUUUUCGGCAAUGGGGGGAACCCUGACCGAGCAACGCCGCGUGAACGAAGAAGUUAUUCGUAAUGUAAAGUUCUUUUAACAGGGAAGAAAGAGAAAUUUGACGGCACCUGAAGAAUAAGCUCCGGCUAACUACGUGCCUGCCGCCGCGGUAAUACGAAGGGAGCGAACGUUAUCCGGAAUUAUUGGCCGUAAGGGGGGCGUAGAUGGCAUCGUAGGUCUUUUGUAAAAAUGUGGGGCUAAACCCAGUAGGGCAAAAGAUACUGCAAAGCUAGAGUAUGACAGAGGCAAGUGGAACUACAUGUGUAGCGGUAAAAUGCGUAAAUAUAUGUAAGAACACCGGUGGCGAAGGCAGCUUGCUGGGUCGAUACUGACAUUGAGGCACGAAAGCGUGGGGAGCAAACAGGAUUAGAUACCCGUGUAGUC
This 446-nucleotide ribosomal RNA is filed under the name uncultured bacterium. Its description in RNAcentral is "partial 16S ribosomal RNA". It matches the Rfam family "Bacterial small subunit ribosomal RNA", at positions 338 to 795 of the family's 1533-position model. The record is from RNAcentral.